CCUACGGGCGGCAGCAGUGGGGAAUAUUGCACAAUGGGGGAAACCCUGAUGCAGCGACGCCGCGUGAGUGAAGAAGGAUUUCGGGAUGUAAAGCUCUAUCAGCAGGGAAGAAGAAAGACGGUACCGGACGAAGAAGCCCCGGCGAACUACGUGCCAGCAGCCGCGGUAAGACGUAGGGGGCAAGCGGGAGCCGGAUGGACGGGGUGUAAAGGGAGCGGAAACUGCUGUGCAAGUCGGACGGGAACGCCCAGGGCUCAACCAGGGGACUGCGUUUGAAACUGUGGAGCUAGCUGGCUGGAGAGGUAAGUGGAAUUCCUAGUGUAGCGGUUAACUGCGUAGAUAUUAGGAGGAACACCAGUGGCGCAGGCGACUUACUGGACCGUAACUGACGUUGCGGCUUGAAAGCGUGGGGAGCAAACAGGAUUAGAUACCCUUGUAGUC
This 441-nucleotide ribosomal RNA is filed under the name uncultured bacterium. RNAcentral describes it as "partial 16S ribosomal RNA". It matches the Rfam family "Bacterial small subunit ribosomal RNA", at positions 338 to 795 of the family's 1533-position model. The record is from RNAcentral.